Molecule: ribosomal RNA, 497 nt
Filed under: uncultured bacterium
Lineage: Bacteria
Description: partial 16S ribosomal RNA
Rfam family: Bacterial small subunit ribosomal RNA
Source: RNAcentral
GAUGAACGCUGGCGGCGUGCCUAAUACAUGCCAGUCGAGCGAACGGACGAGAAGCUUGCUUCUCUGAUGUUAGCGGCGGACGGGUGAGUAACACGUGGAUAACCUACCUAUAAGACUGGGGUAACUUCGGGAAACCGGAGCUAAUACCGGAUAAUAUUUUGAACCGCAUGGUUCAAAAGUGAAAGACGGUCUUGCUGUCACUUAUAGAUGGAUCCGCGCUGCAUUAGCUAGUUGGUAAGGUAACGGCUUACCAAGGCAACGAUGCAUAGCCGACCUGAGAGGGUGAUCGGCCACACUGGAACUGAGACACGGUCCAGACUCCUACGGGAGGCAGCAGUAGGGAAUCUUCCGCAAUAGGCGAAAGCCUGACGGAGCAACGCCGCGUGAGUGAUGAAGGUCUUCGGAUCGUAAAACUCUGUUAUUAGGGAAGAACAUAUGUGUAAGUAACUGUGCACAUCUUGACGGUACCUAAUCAGAAAGCCACGGCUAACUACGUG